CCUACGGGAGGCAGCAGUGGGGAAUCUUAGACAAUGGGGGCAACCCUGAUCUAGCCAUGCCGCGUGGAUGAUGAAGGCCUUAGGGUCGUAAAGUCCUUUCGCCGGGGAAGAUAAUGACGGUACCCGGUAAAGAAACCCCGGCUAACUCCGUGCCAGCAGCCGCGGUAAUACGGAGGGGGUUAGCGUUGUUCGGAAUGACUGGGCGUAAAGCGCGCGUAGGCGGAUCGACACAGUCAGAGGUGAAAGCCCGGGGCUCAACCCCGGAAUUGCCUUUG
This 275-nucleotide ribosomal RNA is filed under the name uncultured Rubellimicrobium sp. RNAcentral's name for it is "partial 16S ribosomal RNA". It matches the Rfam family "Bacterial small subunit ribosomal RNA", at positions 338 to 629 of the family's 1533-position model. Lineage: Bacteria; Pseudomonadati; Pseudomonadota; Alphaproteobacteria; Rhodobacterales; Roseobacteraceae. The record is from RNAcentral.